GAUGAACGCUGGCGGCGUGCCUAAUACAUGCAAGUCGAGCGAAAACACGAGGAGCUUGCUCCUUUGACGUUAGCGGCGGACGGGUGGGUAACACGUGGAUAACAUACUUAUAAGACUGGGAUAACUUCGGGAAACCGGAGCUAAUACCGGCUAAUAUAUUGAACCGCAUGGUUCAAUAGUGAUAGACGGCUUUGCUGUCUCUUAUAGACGGUUUCGGGCCGGAUUAGCUAGUUGGUAAGGUAACGGCUUACCAAGGCAACGAUGCGUAGCCGACCUGAGAGGGUGAUCGGCCACACUGGAACUGAGACACGGUCCAGACUCCUACGGGAGGCAGCAGUAGGGAAUAUUCGGCAAUGGGCGAAAGCCUGAUGGAGCAACACCGCGUGGGUGAAGAAGGCCUUCGGGUUGUAAAGCCCUUUUGUUGGGAAAGAAAAGAAGCAGGUUAAUAUAUGGAUGUUUUGACGGUACCAAAAGAAAAAGCACCGGCUAACUUCGUG
RNAcentral lists this ribosomal RNA (497 nucleotides) under uncultured bacterium. Its description in RNAcentral is "partial 16S ribosomal RNA". It matches the Rfam family "Bacterial small subunit ribosomal RNA", at positions 28 to 507 of the family's 1533-position model. The record is from RNAcentral.